UACGGGAGGCAGCAGUGGGGAAUUUUCCGCAAUGGGCGAAAGCCUGACGGAGCAACGCCGCGUGAGGGAUGAAGGCCUCUGGGCUGUAAACCUCUUUUAUCAAGGAAGAAGAUCUGACGGUACUUGAUGAAUAAGCCACGGCUAAUUCCGUGCCAGCAGCCGCGGUAAUACGGGAGUGGCAAGCGUUAUCCGGAAUUAUUGGGCGUAAAGCGUCCGCAGGCGGCCCUUCAAGUCUGCUGUUAAAAAGUGGAGCUUAACUCCAUCAUGGCAGUGGAAACUGAGGGGCUUGAGUGUGGUAGGGGCAGAGGGAAUUCCCGGUGUAGCGGUGAAAUGCGUAGAUAUCGGGAAGAACACCAGUGGCGAAGGCGCUCUGCUGGGCCAUCACUGACGCUCAUGGACGAAAGCCAGGGGAGCGAAAGGGAUUAGAUACCCCUGUAGUCCUGGCCGUAAACGAUGAACACUAGGUGUCGGGGGAAUCGACCCCCUCGGUGUCGUAGCCAACGCGUUAAGUGUUCCGCCUGGGGAGUACGCACGCAAGUGUGAAACUCAAAGGAAUUGACGG
RNAcentral lists this ribosomal RNA (562 nucleotides) under uncultured Synechococcus sp. Its description in RNAcentral is "bacterial SSU rRNA". It matches the Rfam family "Bacterial small subunit ribosomal RNA", at positions 340 to 916 of the family's 1533-position model. The record is from RNAcentral. Lineage: Bacteria; Bacillati; Cyanobacteriota; Cyanophyceae; Synechococcales; Synechococcaceae.